AUUGAACGCUGGCGGCAGGCCUAACACAUGCAAGUCGAACGAGUGGCGGACGGGUGAGUAAUGUCUGGGAAACUGCCUGAUGGAGGGGGAUAACUACUGGAAACGGUAGCUAAUACCGCAUACCAUCAGAUGUGCCCAGAUGGGAUUAGCUAGUUGGUGGGGUAACGGCUCACCAAGGCGACGAUGCCUAGCUGGUCUGAGAGGCUGACCAGCCACACUGGAACUGAGACACGGUCCAGACUCCUACGGGAGGCAGCAGUAGGGAAUAUUGCGCAAUGGACGAAAGCCUGAUGGAGCCAUGCCGCGUGUAUGAAGAAGGUCUUCGGGUUGUAAAGUACUUUUAGCGGGGAAGCGUUACCCGAAGAGGAAGCACCGGCUAACUCCGUGCCAGCAGCCGCGGUAAUUC
RNAcentral lists this ribosomal RNA (406 nucleotides) under uncultured bacterium. RNAcentral describes it as "partial 16S ribosomal RNA". It matches the Rfam family "Bacterial small subunit ribosomal RNA", at positions 30 to 526 of the family's 1533-position model. The record is from RNAcentral.